ACGCUCGACACCUACGGAGGCAGCAGUUGGGAAUAUUGGACAAUGGAGGAAACUCUGAUCCAGUGACGCCGCGUGAAGGAAGAAGGUCUUCGGAUUGUAAACUUAUUUUGUCAGGGAAGAAAAAUGACUGUACCUGAAGAAAAAGCAGCGGCUAACUACGUGGCAGCAGCCGCGGUAAUCUGAGCGGGCUGGCAAGGC
This 198-nucleotide ribosomal RNA is filed under the name uncultured bacterium. RNAcentral describes it as "partial 16S ribosomal RNA". It matches the Rfam family "Bacterial small subunit ribosomal RNA", at positions 328 to 538 of the family's 1533-position model. The record is from RNAcentral.